Molecule: RNA transcript, 4228 nt
Organism: Pteropus alecto (black flying fox)
Lineage: Eukaryota; Metazoa; Chordata; Mammalia; Chiroptera; Pteropodidae
Gene: AKAP10
Gene name: A-kinase anchoring protein 10
Exons: 16
Source: RefSeq, a predicted model, not a curated record
CGCGAGGAAGGACCGGAACUCUGGGCGGGCGGCUUGUUGAUAAUAUGGCGGCGGGAGCUCUCUGGGCAUCAGGAGGAGGCGGUGGGGCCCACACCCGGAAGGGUCUCUUUUCGGGCUAGUGCGGCGAACGCUGCGGACCCGGAAGUCCGGGCCGGUUGCUGAAUGAAGGGAGCCGGGCCCUCCCCGCGACAGUCCCCCCGCGCCCUCCGCCCCGACCCGGGCCCCGCCAUGUCCUUCUUCCGGCGGAAAGUGAAAGGCAAAGAACAAGAUAAGACCUCAGAUGUCAAGUCAAUUAAAGCCUCAAUAUCCGUACAUUCCCCACAAAAAAGCACUAAAAAUCAUGCCUUGCUGGAGGCUGCAGGACCAAGUCAUGUUGCAAUCAAUGCCAUUUCUGCCAACAUGGACUCCUUUUCAAGUAGCAGGACAGCAACACUUAAGAAGCAGCCAAGCCACAUGGAAGCCGCUCAUUUUGGUGACUUGGGCAGAUCUUGUCUGGACUAUCAGACUCAAGAGACCAAAUCAAGUCUUUCAAAGACCCUUGAACAAGUAUUGCAUGACACUAUUGUCCUCCCUUAUUUCAUUCAAUUCAUGGAACUUCGGAGAAUGGAGCAUUUGGUUAAAUUUUGGUUAGAAGCCGAGAGUUUUCACUCUACAACUUGGUCCAGAAUAAGAGCACACAGUCUGAACACAGUGAAGCAGAGCUCAUUGGCUGAGCCCGUCUCUCCAUCUAAAAAGCAAGAAACUGCAGCAUCUUCUGUAACCCAGUCUCUUGACAAGAGAUUAGAGGAUUCUGGUUCAGCCCAAUUGCUUAUGACUCAGUCAGAAGGAAUUGACCUGAAUAAUAGAACUAGCAACACUCAGAAUCACUUGCUGCUUUCCCAGGAAUGUGACAGUGCCCAUUCUCUCCAUCUUGAAAUGGCCAGAAGAGGAGCUCAUCAAGUUUCCAUAGAGACCCAAGAAUCCUCCUCCAGAUUUACAGUAGCCAGUAGAAAUAGUUCCUCUUCUCCACUAAAAGAAUUAUCAGGAAAACUAAUGAAAAGUAUAGAACAAGAUGCAGUGAAUACUUUUACCAAAUAUAUAUCUCCAGAUGCUGCUAAACCAAUACCAAUAACAGAAGCAAUGAGAAAUGACAUCAUAGCAAAGAUUUGUGGAGAAGAUGGACAGGUGGACCCCAACUGUUUUGUUUUGGCACAGUCCAUAGUCUUUAGUGCAAUGGAGCAAGAGCACUUUAGUGAGUUUCUGCGAAGUCACCAUUUCUGUAAAUACCAGAUUGAAGUGCUGACCAGUGGUACUGUUUACCUGGCUGACAUUCUCUUCUGUGAGUCAGCCCUCUUUUAUUUCUCUGAGUACAUGGAAAAAGAGGAUGCAGUGAAUAUCUUACAGUUCUGGCUGGCAGCAGAUAACUUCCAGUCUCAGCUUGCUGCCAAAAAGGGCCAGUAUGAUGGACAGGAGGCACAGAACGAUGCCAUGAUUUUAUAUGACAAGUACUUCUCCCUGCAGGCCACACAUUCUCUUGGAUUUGAUGAUAUUGUAAGAUUAGAAAUUGAAUCCAAUAUCUGCAGGGAAGGUGGGCCACUCCCUAACUGUUUUACAACUCCAUUACGUCAGGCCUGGACAACCAUGGAGAAGGUGUUUUUGCCUGGCUUUUUGUCCAGCAAUCUUUAUUAUAAAUAUUUGAAUGAUCUUAUUCAUUCAGUUCGAGGGGAUGAAUUUCUGGGAGGGAAUGUUUCACUAACUGCUCAUGGUUCUGUUGGCCCUCCUGAGGACUCUCACGCAGGUGUUUCUGACAGCUCAGCUUCUCAGUCCAGUGUGAAAAAAGCCAGUGUUAAAAUUCUGAAAAAUUUUGAUGAAGCAAUAAUUGUGGAUGCUGCAAGUCUGGAUCCAGAAUCUUUAUAUCAAAGGACAUAUGCAGGGAAGAUGACAUUUGGAAGAGUCAGUGACUUGGGGCAGUUCAUCCGAGAAUCUGAGCCUGAACCUGAUGUAAAGAAAUCAAAAGGAUCCAUGUUUUCACAAGCUAUGAAGAAAUGGGUUCAAGGAAAUACUGAUGAGGCCCAAGAAGAGCUAGCAUGGAAGAUUGCUAAAAUGAUAGUCAGUGAUGUUAUGCAGCAGGCACAAUAUGAUCAACCGUUAGAGAAGUCUACAAAGUUCAUUCGACCCAUGCAGUUCAAACUAGUGUUGUUCAAGAAUCAACUGGCAGUUGAGAAUCUGUGUAUGCAGAGGGCUAACAAGUCAUAUAUGGAUUUUCAACUCUGCAAGCAGUCGUCGCCCCUAACCCCAGCAUCGUUCAAGGGUCAGCUUGUACUAUAAGAAGCCUACUUUAAAUAUAAAGACAUCAGUUAAAAGGAUGGAAAAGAUAUACCAUGCAGACACUAUCAAAGUAAGCUGGAAUGGCUUUAUUACUACAAGUCAGAGUAAACUUCAAAACGAGGAAUACUACCAGGCACAAAGAAGAACCUUUUGUAUAAUAAAAGCUAUGACUCAAUACCUGAGAUAAAGGAAAUCGGCUUUUGAAAAAUAAGAGAACUUUUUUCUUUUGGUUGGAUUCUUCAACACAGCCAAUGAAAACAAAGCAUUGUAUUUCUUUUCACUGAUAUAUCUGUUGUUCUGAAGAAUGACAGACAAUCCUAGACUUCCACCAUAAGCAGAGUGACAUGUAGGCAUUUGCUGCACAUGAUGUUCGCACAGUGAAAGUCAUAAAGAGACAAGUGGUAUUGUUUACAUUACUAGAAAAUUAGUUGUUUUUCAGUGGCAAUAACCCAUUUAUUAGAGAGUUAUAGUCCACUGGAAUAGGCAGGGACCACAUACUGUGGGAGGCAGAUAAAUAAAUGUAGAGCUGAUAUUUGCUGGACAUUCUGUAGCAGUAACCCACCUUUAACAGCAUAAAGCAGGUACCAGAAAUGCUUUGUUUUGGCCUCUUAAAACUAACAGGGGAGUCAGCCCCUCCAAAAGCUAGGCAGCUCAGAGUGGCAGUGUGGUGCUAGCCAGUCGUUUUUCUUCAGUGGAACAGGGUGAAGGCUCAUUGCAUAGUGUUCCUUCACAAGACAUUAAUUUAAAAGGAAGCUGACAGGUCAUGGGUCAAGUCUCAGUGACAUUGUCCUUCCUUUUGAUGACAGUAUACAAUUUUCACAUUUUAAUUGCUCCUGAGAUACAGUACACUUAAAGCCAGUCUAUCCCCUGCUAACUAAAGAGUGAAUAUCCUUUCUUUUAAGCAUUAGGACUUGCUCCUCUGGAAUUCUGUGCUCCAGGUUAUUUAACUUUCCCUUCAGGAUACAUGUGGAAAGGAAUAAACAACAGUCACUCCAGUGUUGCCCCUGUGGUAUCUUGAACAAAAUGUUUAUUCCUAGAUUAUAUGAUUUUUUUAAGAAGGUGGGCAGGCACGGGUUGGGGAGAGGAAAAGCACUCAAUUUUGACUGCCUCCUCUUUCUUUACUGUGAGCUGGGAAGUGUGCUGUUGGUGGCCUUUAUUCUUUCUGUCUUUAGGACAGUAAGAGACUCCCUCAUCUCACUUAAACUCAGUUGGCUUCUGGGUCUGAACUGCACUGCUUCAGCAAGGCUACCCUAUUGGUGAACACACUCCACUGGCCAGGCGGUGCCAAUGCUUUGACUGUUUUAAGAGAAAGAACAUUCUCUUGGGCGUUACUGCUUUUGCUCAGACGUUGCAAAAAAAAGUAUAUAAAUAUAUAAAUAUAUAAUUAUUAAUCACUUCUGUCCUUGAGAAAGUCUUGAAUAAAUAGAAAAUUUAUUCCAUUGCAAUAUUUGAUUAUAUAGAGGCACACUGUUUCAUCAACAGAAGAAACAAAAAGGCUGUGUAUAAGUUUUUGGUACUAUGUACCACCUCUGUUAUUCUUCUAAAACUGAAGUAUUCAUGUACUUAAACCGUAUUCUAUUUAAUUGUGUUUGAUUUAAAAUAUAUAUAUAUAUAUAUGAAUUAUAUUUAAAAUUGUGUCAACUUUCUGCUUUCAGGGCAUUUAUGGCUCUUCUAUUAAAAUGUAUUGAUUCUUUCAAAUAGUUCCAUUUGCUUUACAGAAACCCAGAACAUGAGCCACUGCUGGACUUAGCCUUGUGUUUGGAGUGUAUGACAUAGGUCUGAAGUUUUAUGAGGUGUAUAUGCUAUGAUUAACCUGUUUUGUUCUUUUAACAAAAUAAUUCCAUCCAUUUCACUUUGCUUCAAUCUUUAAAUAACAGAAAAGCAAUAUAAAGGUCAUAGAAUAAAAUGUGGUUUUGGGUGA